AGAGUUUGAUCCUGGCUCAGGAUGAACGCUAGCUACAGGCUUAACACAUGCAAGUCGAGGGGCAUCAUGCUUAUAGCAAUAUAAGUGAUGGCGACCGGCGCACGGGUGAGUAACACGUAUCCAACCUGCCGAUAACUCGGGGAUAGCCUUUCGAAAGAAAGAUUAAUACCCGAUAGUAUAAUAAAACCGCAUGGUUUAAUUAUUAAAGAAUUUCGAUAAUUGAUGGGGAUGCGUUCCAUUAGGCAGUUGGUGAGGUAACGGCCCACCAAACCUUCGAUGGAUAGGGGUUCUGAGAGGAAGGUCCCCCACAUUGGAACUGAGACACGGUCCAAACUCCUACGGGAGGCAGCAGUGAGGAAUAUUGGUCAAUGGACGGGAGUCUGAACCAGCCAAGUAGCGUGAAGGAUGACUGCCCUAUGGGUUGUAAACUUCUUUUAUAUGGGAAUAAAU
Molecule: ribosomal RNA, 450 nt
Filed under: uncultured Bacteroides sp.
Lineage: Bacteria; Pseudomonadati; Bacteroidota; Bacteroidia; Bacteroidales; Bacteroidaceae
Description: bacterial SSU rRNA
Rfam family: Bacterial small subunit ribosomal RNA
Source: RNAcentral